Molecule: ribosomal RNA, 433 nt
Filed under: uncultured bacterium
Lineage: Bacteria
Description: partial 16S ribosomal RNA
Rfam family: Bacterial small subunit ribosomal RNA
Source: RNAcentral
AACGAACGCUGGCGGCAGGCCUAACACAUGCAAGUCGAGCGAGAUCUUCGGGUCUAGCGGCGGACGGGUGAGUAACGCGUGGGAAUAUGCCUCUUGGUACGGAAUAGCAUCGGGAAACUGGGAGUAAUACCGUAUGUGCCCUUUGGGGGAAAGAUAUAUCGCAAAGAGAUGAGCCCGCGUUGGAUUAGGCAGUGGGUGGGGAAAUGGCCUACCAAGGAGACGAUCCAUAGCUGGGUUGAGAGGAUGGGCAGCCACACUGGGGCUGAGACACGGCCCAGACUCCUGCAGGAGGGAGCAGUGGGGAAUCUUAGACAAUGGGGGCAACCCUGAUCUAGCCAUGCUGCGUGAGUGAUGAAGGCCUUAGGGUAGUAAAGCAGGUUCAGCUGGGAAGAUAAUGACGGUACCAGCAGAAGAAGCCCCGGCUAACUCCGUG